Pongo abelii (Sumatran orangutan) is the source of this 148-nucleotide unclassified non-coding RNA. It matches the Rfam family "Metazoan signal recognition particle RNA". From Rfam's summary of the family: The signal recognition particle (SRP) is a universally conserved ribonucleoprotein. It is involved in the co-translational targeting of proteins to membranes. Lineage: Eukaryota; Metazoa; Chordata; Mammalia; Primates; Hominidae. The record is from Ensembl.
GCCGGACAUGGUGGUGCAUGCCUGUAAUCCCAGCUACUCAGGAGGCUGAGGCAUGAGAAUUGCUUGAAUCCAGGAGGCCGAGGUUGCAGUGAGCCAAGAUUGUGCCACUGCACUCCAGCCUGGGCGACAGAGCAAGAUUCUGUCUCAA